AUGGCUGCUACUGCAAUAGACUAUUAUUCCAGAAAACCAUUUGUGAAAUACAUUAUUGUUAGCAAUGUGCUCAUUUCCUUGUCAACAGAAAUGUCUUUCUUUUUUCUUUUUAUUUUAUUGCGUGUGUGUGUUUUUUGUUUGUUUGUUUGUUUGUUUUUUGAGACAGAGUCUCACUCUCAAAUGCAGUGGUGCAUUCUCAGCUCACUGCAACCUCUGCCUUCUGGAUUCAAGAAGUUGGCCCCCCUUUUAAUAAUUAACAGCAACUAGUUUUCUGUGUUCCAUCUCCCUUCAAUCAAACUGAAAGGAAGAAUUUGAUAUCUGAAAAACAUCCUUGACACCUCAUCCAUUUUAUUCUUUCAAUAAAGUUAUUGAGCACCUACUAUGUGCCAGGCACUGUAUGAGGCAUAAAGAAUACAAAAUUGAACAAUGACAAUGACAGAAACAAAAUUCCUGUCCUCAUGGAGUUUACAAUCUAGUGGUUCUGACAUUAAACCAAUACAUACAAAAUUACACGUGUUAAAUGCUAAGUAGAGGUAUGUGGUCAGGUGAGAUGUAUAACAGCGGGUCUUACUCUGUGACAGAAAUUAGGGAAUGUUUCCCUGAGGAAGUGAUGAACUAAGAUCUGAAAGACAAAUAGGAAUUAAUUAGGCAAUGGGAAGGGAUAGAUAUUUCAGGCCAAAGAAACAGCAUGAACAAAAGUCUUAUGCUGGAUGAAGCACUGUAAUUCUCAUUCCAAAUACUUAAAGGACAAUGAAGGUAUUGAGUAAAACAUGGUACAUAUGAGGCUAAGUGGCAACAAGAAUAGGUAACCUCUAUUGAGUGUUUUUUAGGUGAUGUGCCAGCCACUGUUUUAUUCUGAGACAGUAACUAUUUUAAUGCUUGGAACUAUGCUUUAGAUAGUGGCCCUAAUAUAUCUGACCUCAUAUGUCAAAUAUAUUUGGUCACAUAAAAUAUUUCCAUCAUUAAGGACAAUAAAAAGCCACUCAAGUGUUUUAAGCUAGGGGUGCAAGUGGGGGUAGGUAGGUGGGUUGUCUGGAUUAAAAUUCAACUUUGAAUAAAAAGAAGAAUUCUGCCUGCAGUAGAGUCAAUACAGGGAGGGCCAGAGUCGCUGCAAGAAGAAGAGUUAGGAGACAACAGCAGUUAUGCAUACAAAAGGUGCUGAUGGUAGCUUAGAUUAGGGAGUGGUAAGAAGUGAAGUAGACACAUUUGAGAGAUGUUUAUAAGGUAAAAAUGACAGGACUUGAUGAAGAAGUGAUAGGGAGAGGAAGAUGUCUUAAGAUGAUUUCCAUGUUACCAGUUUGGGAACAGGGGGAAUGGCGGUGGCAUUCACUGGGAUAAGAUGCCUCGAUUAGACUGUAGGUUAACACAAACUUGUUAAAAAGGGGGUAUAACUCCCCUACUGACAUGUAUUGAAUAAAAACCCACAGAAGAAUUCCUGGUGAGUUUCUUCC
Molecule: long non-coding RNA, 1451 nt
Filed under: Papio anubis (olive baboon)
Lineage: Eukaryota; Metazoa; Chordata; Mammalia; Primates; Cercopithecidae
Description: lncRNA (ENSPANG00000046459.1)
Source: RNAcentral